Molecule: ribosomal RNA, 524 nt
Filed under: uncultured Bacteroidota bacterium
Lineage: Bacteria; Pseudomonadati; Bacteroidota
Description: bacterial SSU rRNA
Rfam family: Bacterial small subunit ribosomal RNA
Source: RNAcentral
UACGGGAGGCAGCAGUAAGGAAUAUUGGUCAAUGGACGCAAGUCUGAACCAGCCAUGCCGCGUGAAGGAUGAAGGCCCUCUGGGUUGUAAACUUCUUUUAUGUGUGACGAAAAAAGGGGAUUCUUCCUCACUUGACGGUACCAGAGGAAUAAGCACCGGUUAACUCCGUGCCAGCAGCCGCGGUAAUACGGAGGGUGCAAGCGUUAUCCGUAUUCACUGGGUUUAAAGGGUGCGUAGGUGGGCAGGUAAGUCAGUGGUGAAAUCUUUGAGCUUAACUCGGAAACUGCCAUUGAUACUAUCUGUCUUGAAUAUCCUGGAGGUGAGCGGAAUAUGUCAUGUAGCGGUGAAAUGCUUAGAUAUGACAUAGAACGCCAAUUCAGAAGGCAGCUCACUACGGGAUGAUAGACGCUGAGGCACGAAAGCGUGGGGAUCAAACAGGAUUAGAUACCCUGGUAGUCCACUCCCUAAACGAUGGAUACUCGACAUAUGCGAUACACUGUAUGUGUCUGAGCGAAACGCAUUAA